This 145-nucleotide non-coding RNA is filed under the name Finegoldia magna. Lineage: Bacteria; Bacillati; Bacillota; Tissierellia; Tissierellales; Peptoniphilaceae. The record is from RNAcentral.
GAAGAACGGGUAGCGAAAUCGUGGCUUGACGAACAGAAACAGAAUAUAAGGCGUAACAGGUGGGCAAGCUAGCUUAAAGAUGGCAAAGACCCAAAAGGUAACCGUAACCCCAAGGCGUAAAUUCUGCAAGUAAACGAUAAAAGUA